This 518-nucleotide ribosomal RNA is filed under the name Pycnonotus cafer cafer. Its description in RNAcentral is "partial 16S ribosomal RNA". It matches the Rfam family "Bacterial large subunit ribosomal RNA", at positions 1847 to 2569 of the family's 2925-position model. Lineage: Eukaryota; Metazoa; Chordata; Aves; Passeriformes; Pycnonotidae. The record is from RNAcentral.
UGAAGGUGAUGCCUGACCCGGUGACCAAAUGUUUAACGGCCGCGGUAUCCUAACCGUGCAAAGGUAGCGCAAUCAAUUGUCCCGUAAAUCGGGACCAGUAUGAAUGGCUAAACGAGGUCUUAACUGUCUCUUACAGGCAAUCAGUGAAAUUGAUCUCCCUGUGCAAAAGCAGGGAUAACCACAUAAGACGAGAAGACCCUGUGGAACUUCAAAAACAGCAACCACCCCAAUAUACAUACACACCCACCUCGGGCUCACUUAACCCACGGGCGACUGGUCUGCAUUUUUUCGGUUGGGGCGACCUUGGAGCAAAACAAAACCUCCAAACAUUAGACCAUCCCUCUAGACUGAGAGCAACCUCUCAACGUGCUAAUAGUAACCAGACCCAAUAUAAUUGAUCAACGGACCAAGCUACCCCAGGGAUAACAGCGCAAUCUCCUUCAAGAGUCCAUAUCGACAGGGAGGUUUACGACCUCGAUGUUGGAUCAGGACAUCCUAGUGGUGCAGCAGCUACUAAG